UGGGGAAUAUUGCACAAUGGGCGCAAGCCUGAUGCAGCCAUGCCGCGUGUAUGAAGAAGGUCUUCGGGUUGUAAAGUACUUUCAGUGGGGAGGAAGGGAGUAAAGUUAAUACCUUUGCUCAUUGACGUUAACCGCAGAAGAAGCACCGGCUAACUCCGUGCCAGCAGCCGCGGUAAUACGGAGGGUGCAAGCGUUAAUCGGAAUUACUGGGCGUAAAGCGCACGCAGGCGGUUUGUUAAGUCAGAUGUGAAAUCCCCGGGCUCAACCUGGGAACUGCAUCUGAUACUGGCAAGCUUGAGUCUCGUAGAGGGGGGUAGAAUUCCAGGUGUAGCGGUGAAAUGCGUAGAGAUCUGGAGGAAUACCGGUGGCGAAGGCGGCCCCCUGGACGAAGACUGACGCUCAGGUGCGAAAGCGUGGGGAGCAAACAGG
Molecule: ribosomal RNA, 429 nt
Filed under: Chloroflexota bacterium
Lineage: Bacteria; Bacillati; Chloroflexota
Description: Chloroflexi bacterium partial 16S ribosomal RNA
Rfam family: Bacterial small subunit ribosomal RNA
Source: RNAcentral